This 269-nucleotide ribosomal RNA is filed under the name uncultured Planctomycetota bacterium. Its description in RNAcentral is "uncultured planctomycete partial 16S ribosomal RNA". It matches the Rfam family "Bacterial small subunit ribosomal RNA", at positions 565 to 832 of the family's 1533-position model. The record is from RNAcentral. Lineage: Bacteria; Pseudomonadati; Planctomycetota.
GAGCACGUAGGUGGGUUUGUAAGUCAGAUGUGAAAGCCUCCUGUUCAACGGGAGAAUUGCAUCUGAAACUACUGAUCUUGAGUGUAGGAGGGGAGAAUGGAACUUCUGGUGGAGCGGUGAAAUGCGUAGAUAUCAGAAGGAACGCCAGCGGCGAAAGCGAUUCUCUGGCCUAUUACUGACACUCAGUGUGCGAAAGCUAGGGGAGCAAACGGGAUUAGAUACCCCGGUAGUCCUAGCCGUAAACGAUGGGCACUAAGUAGAGGGGUUUU